This 549-nucleotide ribosomal RNA is filed under the name uncultured bacterium. RNAcentral describes it as "bacterial SSU rRNA". It matches the Rfam family "Bacterial small subunit ribosomal RNA", at positions 356 to 896 of the family's 1533-position model. The record is from RNAcentral.
AGGGAAUCUUCCGCAAUGGACGCAAGUCUGACGGAGCAACGCCGCGUGAGUGAAGAAGGUUUUCGAAUCGUAAAACUCUGUUGUUAGAGAAGAACAAGUGCUAGAGUAACUGUUAGCGCCUUGACGGUAUCUAACCAGAAAGCCACGGCUAACUGCGUGCCAGCAGCCGCGGUAAUACGUAGGUGGCAAGCGUUGUCCGGAUUUAUUGGGCGUAAAGCGAGCGCAGGCGGUUCCUUAAGUCUGAUGUGAAAGCCCCCGGCUCAACCGGGGAGGGUCAUUGGAAACUGGGGAACUUGAGUGCAGAAGAGGAGAGUGGAAUUCCAUGUGUAGCGGUGAAAUGCGUAGAUAUAUGGAGGAACACCAGUGGCGAAGGCGACUCUCUGGUCUGUAACUGACGCUGAGGCUCGAAAGCGUGGGUAGCAAACAGGAUUAGAUACCCUGGUAGUCCACGCCGUAAACGAUGAGUGCUAAGUGUUGGAGGGUUUCCGCCCUUCAGUGCUGCAGUUAACGCAUUAAGCACUCCGCCUGGGGAGUACGACCGCAAGGUUG